GGUUAAGCGACUAAGCGUACACGGUGGAUGCCCUGGCAGUCAGAGGCGAUGAAGGACGUGCUAAUCUGCGAUAAGCGUCGGUAAGGUGAUAUGAACCGUUAUAACCGGCGAUUUCCGAAUGGGGAAACCCAGUGUGUUUCGACACACUAUCAUUAACUGAAUCCAUAGGUUAAUGAGGCGAACCGGGGGAACUGAAACAUCUAAGUACCCCGAGGAAAAGAAAUCAACCGAGAUUCCCCCAGUAGCGGCGAGCGAACGGGGAGCAGCCCAGAGCCUGAAUCAGUGUGUGUGUUAGUGGAAGCGUCUGGAAAGGCGCGCGAUACAGGGUGACAGCCCCGUACACAAAAAUGCACAUGCUGUGAGCUCGAUGAGUAGGGCGGGACACGUGGUAUCCUGUCUGAAUAUGGGGGGACCAUCCUCCAAGGCUAAAUACUCCUGACUGACCGAUAGUGAACCAGUACCGUGAGGGAAAGGCGAAAAGAACCCCGGCGAGGGGAGUGAAAAAGAACCUGAAACCGUGUACGUACAAGCAGUGGGAGCACGCUUAGGCGUGUGACUGCGUACCUUUUGUAUAAUGGGUCAGCGACUUAUAUUCUGUAGCAAGGUUAACCGAAUAGGGGAGCCGAAGGGAAACCGAGUCUUAACUGGGCGUUAAGUUGCAGGGUAUAGACCCGAAACCCGGUGAUCUAGCCAUGGGCAGGUUGAAGGUUGGGUAACACUAACUGGAGGACCGAACCGACUAAUGUUGAAAAAUUAGCGGAUGACUUGUGGCUGGGGGUGAAAGGCCAAUCAAACCGGGAGAUAGCUGGUUCUCCCCGAAAGCUAUUUAGGUAGCGCCUCGUGAACUCAUCUCCGGGGGUAGAGCACUGUUUCGGCAAGGGGGUCAUCCCGACUUACCAACCCGAUGCAAACUGCGAAUACCGGAGAAUGUUAUCACGGGAGACACACGGCGGGUGCUAACGUCCGUCGUGAAGAGGGAAACAACCCAGACCGCCAGCUAAGGUCCCAAAGUCAUGGUUAAGUGGGAAACGAUGUGGGAAGGCCCAGACAGCCAGGAUGUUGGCUUAGAAGCAGCCAUCAUUUAAAGAAAGCGUAAUAGCUCACUGGUCGAGUCGGCCUGCGCGGAAGAUGUAACGGGGCUAAACCAUGCACCGAAGCUGCGGCAGCGACGCUUAUGCGUUGUUGGGUAGGGGAGCGUUCUGUAAGCCUGUGAAGGUGUACUGUGAGGUAUGCUGGAGGUAUCAGAAGUGCGAAUGCUGACAUAAGUAACGAUAAAGCGGGUGAAAAGCCCGCUCGCCGGAAGACCAAGGGUUCCUGUCCAACGUUAAUCGGGGCAGGGUGAGUCGACCCCUAAGGCGAGGCCGAAAGGCGUAGUCGAUGGGAAACAGGUUAAUAUUCCUGUACUUGGUGUUACUGCGAAGGGGGGACGGAGAAGGCUAUGUUGGCCGGGCGACGGUUGUCCCGGUUUAAGCGUGUAGGCUGGUUUUCCAGGCAAAUCCGGAAAAUCAAGGCUGAGGCGUGAUGACGAGGCACUACGGUGCUGAAGCAACAAAUGCCCUGCUUCCAGGAAAAGCCUCUAAGCAUCAGGUAACAUCAAAUCGUACCCCAAACCGACACAGGUGGUCAGGUAGAGAAUACCAAGGCGCUUGAGAGAACUCGGGUGAAGGAACUAGGCAAAAUGGUGCCGUAACUUCGGGAGAAGGCACGCUGAUAUGUAGGUGAAGCGACUUGCUCGUGGAGCUGAAAUCAGUCGAAGAUACCAGCUGGCUGCAACUGUUUAUUAAAAACACAGCACUGUGCAAACACGAAAGUGGACGUAUACGGUGUGACGCCUGCCCGGUGCCGGAAGGUUAAUUGAUGGGGUUAGCGCAAGCGAAGCUCUUGAUCGAAGCCCCGGUAAACGGCGGCCGUAACUAUAACGGUCCUAAGGUAGCGAAAUUCCUUGUCGGGUAAGUUCCGACCUGCACGAAUGGCGUAAUGAUGGCCAGGCUGUCUCCACCCGAGACUCAGUGAAAUUGAACUCGCUGUGAAGAUGCAGUGUACCCGCGGCAAGACGGAAAGACCCCGUGAACCUUUACUAUAGCUUGACACUGAACAUUGAGCCUUGAUGUGUAGGAUAGGUGGGAGGCUUUGAAGUGUGGACGCCAGUCUGCAUGGAGCCGACCUUGAAAUACCACCCUUUAAUGUUUGAUGUUCUAACGUUGACCCGUAAUCCGGGUUGCGGACAGUGUCUGGUGGGUAGUUUGACUGGGGCGGUCUCCUCCUAAAGAGUAACGGAGGAGCACGAAGGUUGGCUAAUCCUGGUCGGACAUCAGGAGGUUAGUGCAAUGGCAUAAGCCAGCUUGACUGCGAGCGUGACGGCGCGAGCAGGUGCGAAAGCAGGUCAUAGUGAUCCGGUGGUUCUGAAUGGAAGGGCCAUCGCUCAACGGAUAAAAGGUACUCCGGGGAUAACAGGCUGAUACCGCCCAAGAGUUCAUAUCGACGGCGGUGUUUGGCACCUCGAUGUCGGCUCAUCACAUCCUGGGGCUGAAGUAGGUCCCAAGGGUAUGGCUGUUCGCCAUUUAAAGUGGUACGCGAGCUGGGUUUAGAACGUCGUGAGACAGUUCGGUCCCUAUCUGCCGUGGGCGCUGGAGAACUGAGGGGGGCUGCUCCUAGUACGAGAGGACCGGAGUGGACGCAUCACUGGUGUUCGGGUUGUCAUGCCAAUGGCACUGCCCGGUAGCUAAAUGCGGAAGAGAUAAGUGCUGAAAGCAUCUAAGCACGAAACUUGCCCCGAGAUGAGUUCUCCCUGACUCCUUGAGAGUCCUGAAGGAACGUUGAAGACGACGACGUUGAUAGGCCGGGUGUGUAAGCGCAGCGAUGCGUUGAGCUAACCGGUACUAAUGAACCGUGAGGCUUAACCUU
RNAcentral lists this ribosomal RNA (2904 nucleotides) under Escherichia coli. RNAcentral describes it as "23S ribosomal RNA". It matches the Rfam family "Bacterial large subunit ribosomal RNA". The record is from RNAcentral. Lineage: Bacteria; Pseudomonadati; Pseudomonadota; Gammaproteobacteria; Enterobacterales; Enterobacteriaceae.